This 263-nucleotide ribosomal RNA is filed under the name uncultured archaeon. RNAcentral's name for it is "partial 16S ribosomal RNA". It matches the Rfam family "Archaeal small subunit ribosomal RNA", at positions 717 to 982 of the family's 1478-position model. The record is from RNAcentral.
AGUCACUGACAUUAGAUACCCGUGUAGUCCUGGGUGUAAACGCUGCAGACUUGGUGUUGGAAGCCCUUUGGGGGCAUUCAGUGCCGGAGAGAAGUUGUUAAGUCUGCUACUUGGGGAGUACGUCCGCAAGGAUGAAACUUAAGGAAUUGGCGGGGAGCACCGCAACGGGAGGAGCGUGCGGUUUAAUUGGAUUCAACACCGUAAAACUCACCAGGGAAGACUGUUACAUGAAGGCCGAGAUGAAGACUCUGCUAGAUUUUCAG